GGGUUGUGAGGUUAAGCGACUAAGCGUACACGGUGGAUGCCCUGGCAGUCAGAGGCGAUGAAGGACGUGCUAAUCUGCGAUAAGCGCCGGUAAGGUGAUAUGAACCGUUAUAACCGGCGAUUUCCGAAUGGGGAAACCCAGUGUGACUCGUCACACUAUCAUUAACUGAAUCCAUAGGUUAAUGAGGCGAACCGGGGGAACUGAAACAUCUAAGUACCCCGAGGAAAAGAAAUCAACCGAGAUUCCCCCAGUAGCGGCGAGCGAACGGGGAGGAGCCCAGAGCCUGAAUCAGCAUGUGUGUUAGUGGAAGCGUCUGGAAAGGCGCGCGAUACAGGGUGACAGCCCCGUACACAAAAGCGCAUGUGCUGUGAGCUCGAUGAGUAGGGCGGGACACGUGGUAUCCUGUCUGAAUAUGGGGGGACCAUCCUCCAAGGCUAAAUACUCCUGACUGACCGAUAGUGAACCAGUACCGUGAGGGAAAGGCGAAAAGAACCCCGGCGAGGGGAGUGAAAAAGAACCUGAAACCGUGUACGUACAAGCAGUGGGAGCACAGGUUUACCUGUGUGACUGCGUACCUUUUGUAUAAUGGGUCAGCGACUUAUAUUCUGUAGCAAGGUUAACCGAAUAGGGGAGCCGGAGGGAAACCGAGUCUUAAUUGGGCGUUAAGUUGCAGGGUAUAGACCCGAAACCCGGUGAUCUAGCCAUGGGCAGGUUGAAGGUUGGGUAACACUAACUGGAGGACCGAACCGACUAAUGUUGAAAAAUUAGCGGAUGACCUGUGGCUGGGGGUGAAAGGCCAAUCAAACCGGGAGAUAGCUGGUUCUCCCCGAAAGCUAUUUAGGUAGCGCCUCGUGAAUUCAUCUCCGGGGGUAGAGCACUGUUUCGGCUAGGGGGCCAUCCCGGCUUACCAACCCGAUGCAAACUGCGAAUACCGGAGAAUGUUAUCACGGGAGACACACGGCGGGUGCUAACGUCCGUCGUGAAGAGGGAAACAACCCAGACCGCCAGCUAAGGUCCCAAAGUCAUGGUUAAGUGGGAAACGAUGUGGGAAGGCCCAGACAGCCAGGAUGUUGGCUUAGAAGCAGCCAUCAUUUAAAGAAAGCGUAAUAGCUCACUGGUCGAGUCGGCCUGCGCGGAAGAUGUAACGGGGCUAAACCAUGCACCGAAGCUGCGGCAGCGACACUGUGUGUUGUUGGGUAGGGGAGCGUUCUGUAAGCCUGCGAAGGUGGCCUGUGAGGGUUGCUGGAGGUAUCAGAAGUGCGAAUGCUGACAUAAGUAACGAUAAAGCGGGUGAAAAGCCCGCUCGCCGGAAGACCAAGGGUUCCUGUCCAACGUUAAUCGGGGCAGGGUGAGUCGACCCCUAAGGCGAGGCCGAAAGGCGUAGUCGAUGGGAAACGGGUUAAUAUUCCCGUACUUGGUGUUACUGCGAAGGGGGGACGGAGAAGGCUAUGUUGGCCGGGCGACGGUUGUCCCGGUUUAAGCGUGUAGGUGUGUGUUCCAGGUAAAUCCGGUUCACUUUAACACUGAGGCGUGACGACGAGGCACUACGGUGCUGAAGCAACAAAUGCCCUGCUUCCAGGAAAAGCCUCUAAGCAUCAGGUAACAUCAAAUCGUACCCCAAACCGACACAGGUGGUCAGGUAGAGAAUACCAAGGCGCUUGAGAGAACUCGGGUGAAGGAACUAGGCAAAAUGGUGCCGUAACUUCGGGAGAAGGCACGCUGACACGUAGGUGAAGUGAUUUACUCAUGGAGCUGAAGUCAGUCGAAGAUACCAGCUGGCUGCAACUGUUUAUUAAAAACACAGCACUGUGCAAACACGAAAGUGGACGUAUACGGUGUGACGCCUGCCCGGUGCCGGAAGGUUAAUUGAUGGGGUCAGCGCAAGCGAAGCUCCUGAUCGAAGCCCCGGUAAACGGCGGCCGUAACUAUAACGGUCCUAAGGUAGCGAAAUUCCUUGUCGGGUAAGUUCCGACCUGCACGAAUGGCGUAAUGAUGGCCAGGCUGUCUCCACCCGAGACUCAGUGAAAUUGAACUCGCUGUGAAGAUGCAGUGUACCCGCGGCAAGACGGAAAGACCCCGUGAACCUUUACUAUAGCUUGACACUGAACAUUGAGCCUUGAUGUGUAGGAUAGGUGGGAGGCUUUGAAGUGUGGACGCCAGUCUGCAUGGAGCCGACCUUGAAAUACCACCCUUUAAUGUUUGAUGUUCUAACGUGGACCCGUAAUCCGGGUUGCGGACAGUGUCUGGUGGGUAGUUUGACUGGGGCGGUCUCCUCCUAAAGAGUAACGGAGGAGCACGAAGGUUGGCUAAUCCUGGUCGGACAUCAGGAGGUUAGUGCAAUGGCAUAAGCCAGCUUGACUGCGAGCGUGACGGCGCGAGCAGGUGCGAAAGCAGGUCAUAGUGAUCCGGUGGUUCUGAAUGGAAGGGCCAUCGCUCAACGGAUAAAAGGUACUCCGGGGAUAACAGGCUGAUACCGCCCAAGAGUUCAUAUCGACGGCGGUGUUUGGCACCUCGAUGUCGGCUCAUCACAUCCUGGGGCUGAAGUAGGUCCCAAGGGUAUGGCUGUUCGCCAUUUAAAGUGGUACGCGAGCUGGGUUUAGAACGUCGUGAGACAGUUCGGUCCCUAUCUGCCGUGGGCGCUGGAGAACUGAGGGGGGCUGCUCCUAGUACGAGAGGACCGGAGUGGACGCAUCACUGGUGUUCGGGUUGUCAUGCCAAUGGCACUGCCCGGUAGCUAAAUGCGGAAGAGAUAAGUGCUGAAAGCAUCUAAGCACGAAACUUGCCCCGAGAUGAGUUCUCCCUGAGACUUAGAGUCUCCUGAAGGAACGUUGAAGACGACGACGUUGAUAGGCCGGGUGUGUAAGCGCAGCGAUGCGUUGAGCUAACCGGUACUAAUGAACCGUGAGGCUUAACCUUACAACGCCAAAG
This 2928-nucleotide ribosomal RNA is filed under the name Salmonella enterica subsp. enterica serovar Senftenberg. RNAcentral's name for it is "23S ribosomal RNA". It matches the Rfam family "Bacterial large subunit ribosomal RNA". RNAcentral also lists the same sequence under 3 other names. Lineage: Bacteria; Pseudomonadati; Pseudomonadota; Gammaproteobacteria; Enterobacterales; Enterobacteriaceae. The record is from RNAcentral.